GACGAACGCUGGCGGCGUGCCUAAUACAUGCAAGUCGAACGGGAGCGACCGGUGCUUGCACUGGUCAAUCUAGUGGCGAACGGGUGAGUAACACGUGGGUAACCUGCCCAUCAGAGGGGGAUAACAUCCGGAAACGGAUGCUAAAACCGCAUAGGUCUUCGAACCGCAUGGUUUGAAGAGGAAAAGAGGCGCAAGCUUCUGCUGAUGGAUGGACCCGCGGUGCAUUAGCUAGUUGGUGAGGUAACGGCUCACCAAGGCCGUGAUGCAUAGCCGACCUGAGAGGGUGAUCGGCCACAUUGGGACUGAGACACGGCCCAAACUCCUACGGGAGGCAGCAGUAGGGAAUCUUCCGCAAUGGACGCAAGUCUGACGGAGCAACGCCGCGUGAGUGAAGAAGGUUUUCGGAUCGUAAAACUCUGUUGUUAGAGAAGAACAAGUGCUAGAGUAACUGUUAGCGCCUUGACGGUAUCUAACCAGAAAGCCACGGCUAACUACGUG
This 498-nucleotide ribosomal RNA is filed under the name uncultured bacterium. RNAcentral's name for it is "partial 16S ribosomal RNA". It matches the Rfam family "Bacterial small subunit ribosomal RNA", at positions 28 to 507 of the family's 1533-position model. The record is from RNAcentral.